CUCAAAGAUUAAGCCAUGCAAGUGGUUAUAUUAACCCGACAGUUUAAAUAAGUGUUAAAUGCUACCAUUAAACUUAUCACACAUAUCACGCAUAGACCGAUUUUGUUUACAGUAGUAACAAUUUCAGCGUGAAUCACCCAUCACAGUGAAUCACUGAAAUUUACCCAAUAUCAGUAUCACUUACGCAACUGCAGACAGCUGCUUAAUACAGUCACACUUGUCUUGACUUGGCGCAAUAAAGAUUUUCAUUGAAACACCCGUUCUGCGGGCAGAUCGGUGAUCAUUUUUGUUUUGUUGCAUUCACGCAUACAAAAUUUUUUGAUUUCUCUNUAUCGCUUAUUCUUAAGGACAACGCGUUACACCGUGACAAAUUUCUUUAUGGAUAACUCAGGGAAAGUUUGGCUAAAUGACGUACGAGUACAUUUUUUUUCUACACACACACACACACACACACACUCAAAUUAUCUUUGUAUUGCUGUGUAUCAACUACUACUCANCACUCARUGGUAAACUUUGGCUGCGCUUGCGCGGUCAGUUUAAAGUUUAACUGCAACAUGAGAGACAUUGAGCACGCACGUGUUGUGUCUUCGGACGCUUCACAUCACGCUGAGCAGACUUUGCGAAGUUUACUUUGCGAAGCAUGUCAUACAAGCAUCUACAGCAUCAAGUCACAGGGGUGGCAAGUGUAUUUUUGAACCUUCAAAGCAGUCACGCAUACGGAAGAGUAGUUUCUGAUCCCAUAGAAGGAGCACCGUACAAUGAGAGACCGCUCUUAGUUCUAAGGAACGCAGCAGGCGCGUAAAUUGCCCAAUGCUAGUACCCUACAAUCAAAUUGUAUUUACAUGCGUUAACAAUUUACAACAUACAAGUUUUAAUGACAGACAUUAUCAACACUUUCAUUUUUUCUGUUAUAUAUCAUACACAAUAUAUCCUUGUUCGUUGUACAUCAGCAUAUAUAGUAUUAAUUUAUUAUUUUACUGAGGCAGUGACAAGCUGUAACGGUUGAGUAUAAAAAUGACGAGUGUCUGGCAUUGCCGCUCUUUCGGGAGCUUGGCAAGUUGCCGACGCUUUGUGUGCUCAAUUGGAAUGCGGUGAGUUUAAGCAAGUNNNNNNNNNNNNNNNNNNNNNNNNNNNNNNNNNNNNNNNNNNNNNNNNNNNNNNNNNNNNNNNNNNNNNNNNNNNNNNNNNCCGCGGUAAUACCAGCUCCACUGGCCUAUACAAUCAUUGUUGCGGUUAAGAGGCUCGUAGUUGGAUUGAACUGCAAAUACGAAUGAAUUUCUCAUUCUGUUUGAAGUUUUACGCAUUACAAAAUAUACAUUUCUGUGCUCGCAUAGAUUUUUACUUUUUUUUUUUUGCGUUCRACSCUGUUAAAAUUUAUACAAUUUCACCGUUGUAUUCAAAUUUUAUUUUUUACMCGGCACAAAUUUUUACGGCACACACCCWUUAUWUUUUUUUCRACACACACACGUAUAUUUUUKGCAAACGCGCGGRAAAUCUUUGUAUCRAACACUCGCUUAAAAUUUAUUCUCCUUUUCAACACUGUGAACAAAUCAAAGUGWAUCAAACAUGUCGUUAUUGAAUGUGCAUUGAAUGYCUUAUCAGGGGAUGUUGCACUUUCUGCGUUAAAAUUUUUACUGCACUUUUUACAAAGSCGCUGUACAUUGUUUUUUUUUANCWUUACACACAUAUUUUCUGUCAUGCUGCGGCCCGUUUAGGGAAGUUAUACUAGCAUGCAGAUACACGCACAUGUUACAUGCCACGUAAAUUUUAUUAUCUUAUAUACUCUUACGGUAAAUUUUUUUAACGGUUAAAAAUGUCGAUGGGGAUAGUUGGAGUCAACAGUACUGCUGGGCGAGCGGUGAAAUGCAUUGACCCUAGCAAGACUACCAAAAGCGAAAGCAGUUGGCUAGGCUAUACUCUUUGUGAUUAUAUCUUACGCGCUGAAAUUAUUCAUUGCUUUAUACGCACAUUUUACACACACACACACACGCGCAUAUACUGCAUCAGAAUUUUUUUCACUGCGCGUAUAAUAUAUAUACACUUUACAAUGAAGAACGAAGGUUGGGGGAUCAAAGAGGAUCAGAUACCCUCGUCGUCCCAUUAAUUACAUCAAACGAUGGACUCUCAAUUGCAUUUUUUAUUAAAUUGCAAAUUUCCUCAGCCUACAAAAUGACUUGGCUUGAGCUCGUAUUUUUAUACGCUCGCCUAACUUUUUUCGUACGGUCUCGAUGGACGUUUCAUUUAUAUUUUUUGCGUGUAAGCAUUUGUUAUUCUUUGAAACAUAAGAAUGCAUUGCGUGCACUUGAUUUUCGGAGCUUUGCGCUCAAUUCUGGUGAGAUGUAAGCACUGUGUCAUACUACCCGCAGCAUAUACCUUCGGGUAUUUUGUCUGUCGUGUGUAGUUGACAAUCUUGGUGUGAAGCACGCUUUAGGCACGCGCUUACUGCAGAAAUGUCUGAGACACUCUCCUCUGGGGGAAGUAUGCACGCAAGUGUGAAACUUGAAGGAAUUGACGGAAGGGCACCACAAGAACGCGUGGAGCAUGUGGCUUAAUUUGACUCAACGCGGGAAAUCUUACCGGGUCCGGACACACUGAGGAUUGACAGGCAAUAUUAAUACUUUUUUUGCUUCGGCAAUAUUUGGUAUUAUGUUAAAUAUGCUAGUCCUUUCAUGAUUAUGUGAUAGGUGGUGCAUGGCCGUUCUUAGUUCGUGUAGUGAUCUGUCUGCUUAAUUGCGUUUCACUAAGGGCCUAUAAAUUUACGUAUGUUGCAUCGCACUUUGACCCCUUUCUUAAUUGAAAGCGCGUGUCUUAGUUUCGCUUUGCUCAUACAAUUAGGUCCUGAAAGCAACGAACGUGACCGCAACCUCUUGUUGCCUUUAUACCAAACAUGUUUAUUCAUUUUUUAAUGUUCAUUCAUGAAAAAAGGCUUUUUAAACUAGAGGGACCGCUGUUACUUUCUUAAACCAGAGGAAGGUUGCGGCAAUAACAGGUCUGUGAUGCCCUUAGAUGUUCCGGGCUGCACACGUGCUACAAUGAUUAUUGCAGUGAGCAUCUCAUUUUUACACACCGCAUGCGCGAGUCCAUUUAUUCACCUUCGGGUGUUUUAAAUGUGUACCUCUGCGCGCGGUAAAGCCUGCUUCGAAAGUAAGUGGGUAAUCAAUUAGAAGUAAUGAUUUCCUUUUUUUUAGCACACAUAUAUACGGCGUCUAUACCCGGGCUACCCUGUUGUAGCUUUUGUGCGUAUAGAUGUUUUUUCCGUAUGUGCGAUUGUCAAUUCAUGGUGGGGACAGACCAUUGUUAAUUGUUGGUCUCGGUCUUAACUAGGAAUGCCUUGUACGGGUCUUUGGUUCAACAAACCACCCGGAAUACGUCCCUGCCCUUUGUACACACCGCCCGUCGCUCUUACCGAUGGACUUCUCUGUGAGUUUGAGGGACUGGGAACGCAGGAAUUUAUUUCUGCACACCUAUGGAAACUUAAACGAACAGUGUGGUCUAAAGGAAAGAGAAGUCGUAACAAGGCAUCGGUAGGUGAACCU
Molecule: ribosomal RNA, 3536 nt
Filed under: Cibicides sp. 2524
Lineage: Eukaryota; Foraminifera; Rotaliida; Cibicididae
Description: small subunit ribosomal RNA
Rfam family: Eukaryotic small subunit ribosomal RNA (bases 1198-3536)
Source: RNAcentral